AACGCACGAGACCUGCGGACCUGCGGAAGGAUCAUUACCGAGUUUACAACUCCCAAACCCCUGUGAACAUACCACUCGUUGCCUCGGCGGAUCACCGCGCCCCGUGAAACGGGCCGGCCCGCCAGAGGACCUAAACUCAAAUGUUUUAUUGUAUCUUCUGAGUAAAAACACAAAUAAAUCAAAACUUUCAACAACGGAUCUCU
This 203-nucleotide unclassified non-coding RNA is filed under the name soil metagenome. RNAcentral's name for it is "partial contains 5.8S ribosomal RNA, internal transcribed spacer 2, and large subunit ribosomal RNA". The record is from RNAcentral.